Molecule: microRNA precursor, 67 nt
Filed under: Bombyx mori (domestic silkworm)
Lineage: Eukaryota; Metazoa; Arthropoda; Insecta; Lepidoptera; Bombycidae
Description: mir-2774 microRNA precursor family
Rfam family: mir-2774 microRNA precursor family
Source: Rfam by way of RNAcentral
AUAACAUUUAGAUCGUUGGUCUACCGAGCAAUUUCGACCGCUCAGUGAAAGAUCUUCUCUUUGUCGU